This is a long non-coding RNA of Eucalyptus grandis, 2270 nucleotides long. RefSeq lists it as uncharacterized. The record is from RefSeq and is a predicted model, not a curated record. The transcript is spliced from 3 exons. NCBI's taxonomy places the organism in Eukaryota, Viridiplantae, Streptophyta, Magnoliopsida, Myrtales, Myrtaceae.
AGAUGUCUAUAAAGGCUUCAGCGAGUAAGAUUCCUUUGCUUUUCUCUUUGAUAAUCAGUAAGUUAUUCUUGCUAUAAGCAUUUUCUGGGAGAAAGUACAAUCGGACUUCUCCCAUUAUGAUGUUCACUUGCAGUUUUGUUGCAUUUCUGAGUGCUGCAUUCUGUGGUUGGAAUUAGGAUGACUUCUGUAUACUGUAGAACGCGUUAUCAUUUGGUUGACAUAAGGUGCCUUAAAUAGACAUGGCAAAUGGUUAUUUAAUUGCUUAAAGUGCUCGAUCUUCAUAUUUGGAUUGGAGUUCUAAGAUUAUUGGUAUUUUCCUUAUUGAAGACCAUUCUUGAUCAUCAAACAAAUUGAUGAAGUACAGAUCUAGUACAUUAAAUCACGUAAAUUUAGUUGUCCAUUGUUUUUCUGUACCGUUACUAGCUUGAAUAUUGAGCAAUUCUUUUGUUCUAUUUUCGAAAAAUGGAUAGCAUGAUGAAUCAGCAUGUAUUUAGAAACCAUUAUUCUAUUGUAAAUUCAAAUGUUGAAAGCUAGGGAACUAUUUUAGUUAUAUUGAUGAGAGCAUCUCUUCUUUUUUUUUCUUCUUUAUAUCAUCUGAUCAAGGCAUCAUUCACGAAAGAAUUGGCAUUUAUAUUCUGUCUUUCUCUCACGCUUCUCUGUUUCCACAGUGAUGGAUUCUUUUUGCUGUAAAGGAGGUGUGUUUCUUAGAUCAAGGAAGCCACGGCAAGGAGAGCUUGUCGCAAGAAAUUUCUAUUUUAAGUCAGCUUCAACAUGAGAACAUAGUUCAAUAUUACGGCACUAAGGAGGUACUCUACCAAAGUGCACUUCAGGAAGCAUAACCAACCUCAGGGCCUUGUCUAGGGGACUCUUGCCUUGGUACAGUUGAUUUCUGUGGGAGUGGUGUUGAGGUGAUCCAAUGAUUAGUUAGGUGUUAUAAGAGGCCUAGACAUCCAGCUUCAUUAGGAUGAAUAAAUGGUAAACAUCACUGAUGUAGUUUAUUUCAUUUUAUUUGCUUUUUGGUAUGGUUGUCUCUGAUGAAUCUUCCUAGUGAAUUGCGAACGUUGCACUGCUCCGCUCACUCUGUAUUUUGUUCUACCCUUUUCCUCUCUUGCUUUCCGCGCUAGUCUCUCUCCCUUAUUUUAAUCUCUUCUUUACGCUCCCCUCCCUUUUUCCUACUCUCUCUCCUUUGCUUUCCGCGCUAGUCCCACAUGUUCCCCUCCUUUUGACUAAACUCUCUCCUUCCUUUUUCCUUCUUUCUUUUCCUCCUCUUUUCCCCAUUAAUGUUGUGACGAAGUUUCUUAUGUUUGCAGUAAAGACUUAGCAUCAAAGGAAACGAGCUGCUGUAGCAAAAAAUUGAUUGUGAUUUGGGAUUGACCUUAAGUUCUAAAUGGCAAAUUCAGUUUAGCAAAACAUGACUUGGGGUGCUUGGUCCCUAGUAGCUAGUCCUCCAUACUCUUUGCUGUCUCCAUUAACUCUAUCUUUAUCAGCAUUUUUUGGCAAUUAGCUUUGCCAUCCAAUACCUAGGUCAAACAUUGGUUAUUAAUAGCAUACCCAACCCACUCCACCGCCCAAGUUGUUUCCCUCAUUAAACUUCUCAAUUUGUAUUUUUGUUCCACACAAAAUUAGAAUAACGGAAUUUCUAGAUGACGACUAGACAAAUGAAAGCUCCAAAUCAAAUCUCCAAAAAUCCUAAUCUUAACUUUGAUGUUAAUUGUUGUAAAAUUAAAGUGGAAGCCAAUUGGGUCUUGCCUUUAAAUCAAUGUGAGCAAAUGAAAUAACCCAAUAAAUCAAUAAGGAAAAAUAAUUAAUAUAAGAAAUUUAUGCAGUUCGGUCUGAAUUUUAUUCCAUAAAAAGAGUGAGUUGCAAAUGAUCCACUUCACAUGUUCAAUUAGAUGAUAUUUAAAUCUGCGGUAUUUUGGCCUAACGGGGAGUUAACUCAUAGCUUGAAACGCCCGUCUCCAUAAAGAAAAUGGCCACACCUUUUUCUUUCCUCAAGAGUAUAUAUGGCCCCUUCUUUUGUACGGCCGAAAGAAAUCCCACCUCUGUGCGCAAUAUAAACAAAAGUCUCCAAGUAGUCAAACUGGUCAAACUUACAUACUUCUCACCAAUUGAAAGCAAAAUUUGAACAAAUGAAAAUCCUCCAAACGGGUCGGGCUCUGUACCCAACUUAAAAUGACGAAGCGCAUGCAGCUUCCUCUCUCUUUCCCUCAAUUGCUCCGCUCCAUCUAUUUUCUUAUUCCCUUUUCCUCUCUUGCUUUGUAACGCUCAUU